Molecule: ribosomal RNA, 249 nt
Filed under: uncultured bacterium
Lineage: Bacteria
Description: partial 16S ribosomal RNA
Rfam family: Bacterial small subunit ribosomal RNA
Source: RNAcentral
UGGGGAAUAUUGGACAAUGGGGGCAACCCUGAUCCAGCAAUGCCGCGUGUGUGAAGAAGGUCUUCGGAUUGUAAAGCACUUUCGACGGGGACGAUGAUGACGGUACCCGUAGAAGAAGCCCCGGCUAACUUCGUGCCAGCAGCCGCGGUAAUAAGAAGGGGGCUGAGCGUUGCUCGGAAUGACUGGGCGUAAAGGGCGUGUAGGCGGUUUACACAGUCAGAUGUGAAAUCCCCGGGCUUAACCUGGGAG